ACUGAUCACAUAGACCCGCAGCACUCAGCCAGGCCCCUCACCCCGGCUCUGCUCUCAAGCCGGGCUUGGCUCCCCGCCUGCCCAAAUGCGUUCAACAUCCCCCGAAAGGCCAUUUCCCUUCCAGUCUUCCCGGAGAGAUGUCAGGGUGACGAGGGAGCUUAUCUUUCGGUGGCUCCGAAACAGCCACGAAGCCGAGCUCUACCAGUAACAAAAAUGGCGUCAUUCCGCCAGCGCCAGGACCUCUGUCGCUGGCCGUGGUCUCGCACUGCUUCUGGAGGCUCCCAUUCCAGCCAGAGGAGAGGUGCGUUUGGGGGCCCGGGGGAGUCCUCGUGAUAUCUCCGAGUUUGGGUAUUCGGAAUUGAUCCUACGAAAGCAGUGUGAGGCUUGGAAGGGCCGCGACUUGUCCGGGUGAGUGGGCGUUCCCGGCCACCAGAAGAGGCACGGCCUGAGCAAAGGCGUGGCGACAUGGCAGGGUGGGAAACGGGGAAAGUGGGAAGGCUGGACAGAGCACCCCCCGGGAGAUUCCUCCGCAGAAGCGAAUUCCUAAAACGUCUGGAGAAAGGGAAGAGACCUUUGACAUCAUGCAGCCUUUCAGGGGGCUCACACAUACCCGCCCACUUCUCCCCACCUGGCCUCGGCGCCCUGCCGCCUUCCUAUUGUUCCUGCUUGGCGUCAGGACCCGCCCCCAUCUGUCACUCACUGCCCACCGGUCCUCCAUUGGCUCCUUUGAACACGGAAGGGCCCACCUUCACCUGUCAUUUACAGCCUGGACUUCUGCCUGCCCUAGUUCAAGUAGGCUUAUAUGGCCUUUUGCAGCCCGUAUCAAAACUAAAAGAGUUCAUAGAGUCAGAGGUUCGAGGUAAAACCUAAGGGACAUUGGUUUUAGACGACUUAACAAAGGGCUGGAUUGGAAGUCAGCCCGGAACAGGAUUGCAGAGUUAACAAAGGUUCAUGUUCGAUACAAAACGGGAACUCUGAUGGUUACAAUAGUUAAGAAAGUCCUAGGAUUCAAGACCUCUAUCAGGGUGUAUGGAUGGAGAAAACAUUAACAAAUAUCCUGCUUGAAGAUCAAAUCAGAGGGGCACUGGUGGUGCAAUAGUAACCCAAUUCCAAAGUUAUUUCAGAGAGGCCUUAAAUGGAAGGUUAACUUAGACCCAAAUCUGAGCCAAGACCAGAGACCCAUUAAAGUCACGUGAUGUGGUUAACAGAGCCCCGGAAUUCACAGCCUAUACCAAAGGGGUAAUGAUGGUGGAAGAAUUAAUCAAGGUCUGACUUCAAAGUCAAACCAAAUGGCAUUCAUGAUAAAAAUGUUAACUGAGGGCUGGGCACAGUGGCUAACACUUGCAAUCUCAGAACUUUGGGAGGCCAAGGCGGGAGGAUCACUUGAGGCCAGGAGUUAGAGACCAGCCUGGCCAACAUGGCAAAACCCUAUCUCUACUAAAAAUACAAAAUUUAGCCAGAUGUGGUGGCACAUGCCUGUAGUCUCAGCUGCUUGGGAGGCUGAGGCAUGAGAAUCGCUUGAACCUGGGAGGUGGAGGUUGCAGUGGGCCAAGACUGUGACACUGCACUCCAACCUGGGGGAGAGACAAAACUCUGUCUCAAAAAAUAAAAAUAAGAAAAAAAUGUUAACUGAGGGCCGGGCACAGUGGCUGACACCUGUAAUCCCAGGACUUUGGGAGGCUGAGGCGGGAGGAUCAUGUGAGCCCAGGAGAUCAAGACCAGUCUGGGCAACAUAGUGAGACUCCAUCUCUAUAAAAAUAAAUGUUAACUGAGGAUUGGGGUUGGUGGAUACAGGAGAAGGGGCACAAGUAGCUAAAAAGUUAGUACAGCCUUGAUUUUCUGUACAUACCAAAGGAUCAUAGAUGGAGAGGACUCAACUGAGGCCUGCAGUCAGUGUAAAGAUCUGAGGGAUGCAGAGCGUAGUGGCUCACUCCUAUAAUCCCAGCAUUUUGGGAGGUGGAGGCAGGCAGAUCACUUGAAGCCAGGACUCAGCAUAGCCAACUUGGCGAAAACCUGUCUCUACUAAAAAUACGAAAAUUACCCAGACGUGGUGGUGCAUGCCUGUAAUUCCAGCUGCUUGGGUGGCCGAAGCAUGAGAAUCACUAGAACCUGGGAGGUGGAGGUUGCAGUGAGCAAGAACUGAGGGGCAGUAAUGGGGAAAGAGUUAACAGACAUGCAAAAAGAUUCACAUGUAAAUUGCCCUGGUGAUGGAAAAGUGAACAGAAACUCAAGCUUAACACAUAGACCCAGGAUUAUUAAUUUUCCACCCUCAAAGCCCUGAAUUCUCUCUCUAGAUCCAAACCCAUUAAUAGUGGAAUGGAUAACAGAUUCCCCAGUUCAAGGUAAAAUUAAGGGUUGAUUUAGGUUGGAAGAGUUAAUAGAAGCCCAGGUUGGAGAGCACAGAUAAGAGACUUUGAUGGUGGAAUUGCUAACAACAGCUGGGGUUUGAGGUGAGGUCAGAGGGAUAGGGAUGGUGGAAGAGUUAAGAAGGACAUGGUUUGAGUAUAGACCAGACGGGCCAUCAAUGAUGGAAUAUUUCAAAGAUGCCUGUAUUCAUUUCCUGUUGUUGCUAUAGCAAAUUAUCACAGACUUACUUGCUCAAAACAACACAAAUUUAUUAUCUUACAGUCCUACAUGUCAGAAAUAUGAUAUGGGUUUCACUGGGCACUCCCUACAGAGGCUUAGGAGAAACUCUGUUUAUUUGCUUUACCUAGCUUCUGCUAGAAGUCACCUGUAUUCCUUGACUCAUGGUCCCUUCCUCCAUCUUCAAAGCUGACAGUGUAGCAUCUUCACAUUGCUCUCUGACGGUAACCUGCUUCCAUCAUCACGUCUCCUUUUCUAACUCA
This 2846-nucleotide long non-coding RNA is filed under the name Homo sapiens (human). RNAcentral describes it as "non-protein coding lnc-SPACA5B-3:1". The record is from RNAcentral. Lineage: Eukaryota; Metazoa; Chordata; Mammalia; Primates; Hominidae.